RNAcentral lists this long non-coding RNA (1011 nucleotides) under Bos grunniens (domestic yak). RNAcentral's name for it is "lncRNA (ENSBGRG00000018713.1)". The record is from RNAcentral. Lineage: Eukaryota; Metazoa; Chordata; Mammalia; Artiodactyla; Bovidae.
GAUCGCUGCCUCGGGGCCCGCUGGGCCACCCCUCCGUCCUCAAAAGUUUCCCUCCAAACACGGUCCCCUACGCCAACUAGGGGGUGGUGGGCGAAUCCAGGAGAAGAAUCCGAAGUCCGCAGGAAGCAUCCGACAGGGCUUCGCGUGUGCGGCCCUCCAGGCUGCUGGGUGCGAUUCUCCGCUCCCUGGUGUCUGCUGGGCUCAGGCCUGCCCAGGACGGGGGCGGGGGCGGGGGCGUUGGGGUGCGGGGCGGGCAUCCCUGGGCCCCGGCCCCGACACGCGCGGUCCGGGCCAGGGCGCACGGCCUCGGUGCAGGUCCGGGCGGUCCCCAGCUCCUCGCCCGCCGCCCCUCCCCCUUCUCCAAACUUUCUCCCAACUUCCCGACCUCCUCCGCUCUGCGCCCCGCUCCGCUUCCCUCAUGAAUUAUUCAGCAGGCGCGCUCCAAUCAGCGCGCCCCGGCCCCCCUUGCCAAGCCGCGGCUCGGGAUGGGGGAGCUCCCCCCGCCCCCCGCGCGCCCCUCCCUCCCGGCCAGGCGCCGCCCGGCCCAGUCCCCAGCCCGGCCCAGCCUCAGCCCGCCCGGCCCGCGCCGCAGUCUCCCUCCCUCCCGCUUCGCUCCCCGCUCGGCUCUCACCCUCCCCGCCGGCGCGGAGCGCACUCGGCCCGGCGGCACGAGCAGCGCCACUCCAGGGAGGGGGGGAGACCGCGAGCGGCCGGCCCACCCCCAGCAGCUUUCUGGGGCGGGACCCCGAGGCCCCGGAGGGACCCCGACUCCAGCCACGUCUAGCUCUGCGCCCGCCCGGGCGGCCGCUGCCAGGACGCCCCCCGCCUUCUCGUCUGCGCGCGCGGCCGGGACGCGGGGCCACACCUGGGCGCCGCCACCCGGUGCCCGGCGCGCCCGCAUGGGCCCGCGCUGAGGGCCCCGAGCGAGUCCCGCGCGCGGAGUUGGCGUCCACCCGCUCCGGCGGGGGUUCAGACCUGGGGGGGCUAGCGCCCCCCAAACUCGGAUCGGGU